GGAAAAUGUAGAUAUGGUGACGUAUUCCUUAUCACAAAAUAUCGUAAGGAGAUACGAGUCCACGCGGUGUUGUCACUCAAAUUCACGUAAAGCUGGUACAUACAUAGGACGAAACCAAACCACGCUUGCGAGUUUGAAUUACUGAACAACAUGAUAAUCCCCCAUUACUCGCUGGCACCAUGAAGAGCUUUUGGACAAUCGUGUAUUUGAACCUUACGACCCCACAG
Long non-coding RNA from Haliotis rufescens (red abalone), 227 nucleotides. RefSeq lists it as uncharacterized. The record is from RefSeq and is a predicted model, not a curated record. The transcript has 3 exons. Lineage: Eukaryota; Metazoa; Mollusca; Gastropoda; Lepetellida; Haliotidae.